This 73-nucleotide transfer RNA is filed under the name Parcubacteria group bacterium. RNAcentral's name for it is "tRNA-Lys". It matches the Rfam family "tRNA". From Rfam's summary of the family: Transfer RNA (tRNA) molecules are approximately 80 nucleotides in length. Their secondary structure includes four short double-helical elements and three loops (D, anti-codon, and T loops). The record is from RNAcentral. RNAcentral also lists the same sequence under 1 other name.
GCCCCCGUAGCUCAAUUGGUAGAGCAGUGGCCUUUUAAGCCAUUGGUUCCCCGUUCGAGUCGGGGCGGGGGUA